UACGGGGGGGGUAAGCGUUGUUCGGAAUUACUGGGCGUAAGGGGCGCGCAGGCGGCCUCCUAAGUCCGAUGUGAAAGCCCACGGCUCAACCGUGGAGGGUCAUUGGAAACUGGGGGACUUGAGUGCAGGAGAGAAGAGUGGAAUUCCACGUGUAGCGGUGAAAUGCGUAGAGAUGUGGAGGAACACCAGUGGCGAAGGCGACUCUUUGGCCUGUAACUGACGCUGAGGCGCGAAAGCGUGGGGAGCAACAGG
This 252-nucleotide ribosomal RNA is filed under the name uncultured bacterium. RNAcentral's name for it is "partial 16S ribosomal RNA". It matches the Rfam family "Bacterial small subunit ribosomal RNA", at positions 524 to 775 of the family's 1533-position model. The record is from RNAcentral.